Molecule: ribosomal RNA, 468 nt
Filed under: uncultured bacterium
Lineage: Bacteria
Description: partial 16S ribosomal RNA
Rfam family: Bacterial small subunit ribosomal RNA
Source: RNAcentral
GACGAACGCUGGCGGCGUGCUUAACACAUGCAAGUCGAACGGAAAGGCCCUGCUUUUGUGGGGUGCUCGAGUGGCGAACGGGUGAGUAACACGUGAGUAACCUGCCCUUGACUUUGGGAUAACUUCAGGAAACUGGGGCUACUACCGGAUAGGAGCUCCUGCUGCAUGGUGGGGGUUGGAAAGUUUCGGCGGUUGGGGAUGGACUCGCGGCUUAUCAGCUUGUUGGUGGGGUAGUGGCUUACCAAGGCUUUGACGGGUAGCCGGCCUGAGAGGGUGACCGGCCACAUUGGGACUGAGAUACGGCCCAGACUCCUACGGGAGGCAGCAGUGGGGAAUAUUGCACAAUGGGCGGAAGCCUGAUGCAGCAACGCCGCGUGCGGGAUGACGGCCUUCGGGGUGUAAACCGCUUUCGCCUGUGACGAGGCGUGAGUGACGGUAAUGGGUAAAGAAGCACCGGCUAACUACGUG